This 463-nucleotide ribosomal RNA is filed under the name uncultured bacterium. RNAcentral describes it as "partial 16S ribosomal RNA". It matches the Rfam family "Bacterial small subunit ribosomal RNA", at positions 28 to 505 of the family's 1533-position model. The record is from RNAcentral.
GACGAACGCUGGCGGCGUGCUUAACACAUGCAAGUCGAACGGAAAGGCCCCUUUGGGGGUACUCGAGUGGCGAACGGGUGAGUAACACGUGAGUAACCUGCCCUUGACUUCGGGAUAACUUCAGGAAACUGGGGCUAAUACCGGAUAGGAAUCCUUGCUGAAUGGUGGGGGUUGGAAAGCUUCGGCGGUUUUGGAUGGACUCGCGGCUUAUCAGCUUGUUGGUGGGGUAGUGGCUUACCAAGGCUUUGACGGGUAGCCGGCCUGAGAGGGCGACCGGCCACAUUGGGACUGAGAUACGGCCCAGACUCCUACGGGAGGCAGGAGUGGGGAAUAUUGCACAAUGGGCGGAAGCCUGAUGCAGCAACGCCGCGUGCGGGAUGACGGCCUUCGGGUUGUAAACCGCUUUCAGCAGGGGCGAAGCUUGUGGUGACGGUACCUGCAGAAGAAGCACCGGCUAACUACG